RNAcentral lists this ribozyme (72 nucleotides) under Rodentolepis nana. Its description in RNAcentral is "Hymenolepis nana HDV ribozyme from F. prausnitzii". It matches the Rfam family "HDV ribozyme from F. prausnitzii". Lineage: Eukaryota; Metazoa; Platyhelminthes; Cestoda; Cyclophyllidea; Hymenolepididae. The record is from Rfam by way of RNAcentral.
GGGGUGCGCAAUAGACUUACCUCCAUGUGGUGCACCCUGGGUAACGUAUACUCAUACGGCGAAAAGGUCUAU